CACCUGCCCUAGGGGUGGGUGGGGAGGCUGUCUUUUUUAUACAAUCACCUGUGAUCAACAAAGAAUAACCAGACCCUAAAAAGAAGUAAGCCAUUAAAGAGAUUAUCACCAGUCUUUACUCAAACCAAGACAUCCUAAGAAUGGAUAAGGCUCCCUGGUCAGUUCUAAAGAAAAGACUUGUCAAUGGAGGCCCACGCUGGCAACCCUGUCCGGACCCCUCUCAUUCCUGAGAGCUUUUUCUGUAUCCUUGCUUAACCACUUUACUCAGUCUCCUUUGUCUGCGACAUUCAUUCUUUGACUCAAUGAGACAAGAACCUCACUCUCCCACCUCACUUAAAGGCCGAAACCCCGGACUACUCCCACCGAAGGACCUCUGGACCAGCCUGUGGAUAGAUUCUAACCGCUGCACAGCCUGCCGACCCAUUUCAGCAGGAAGCCGCCAGAGUGAUCAUCUCCCAUUCCCUGACAGCAAUUAGGUGUCCCCUUUAAGAUGGCCAAUACGAUAAAGCAGACUGAAGUAGUGGAGAGAGCAGCAGAGAAUUAGAUGAAUUAGAUCUGAAGCCUGCUUUUGGAACUGACACCACACAG
This is a long non-coding RNA of Canis lupus familiaris (dog), 588 nucleotides long. RefSeq lists it as uncharacterized. Lineage: Eukaryota; Metazoa; Chordata; Mammalia; Carnivora; Canidae. The record is from RefSeq and is a predicted model, not a curated record. The transcript has 3 exons.